GAUGAACGCUGGUGGCGUGCCUAAUACAUGCAAGUCGAGCGAACGGACGAGAAGCUUGCUUCUCUGCUGUUAGCGGCGGACGGGUGAGUAACACGUGGAUAACCUACCUAUAAGACUGGGAUAACUUCGGGAAACCGUAGCUAAUACCGGAUAAUAUUUUGAACCGCAUGGUUCAAAAGUGAAAGACGGUCUUGCUGUCACUUAUAGAUGGAUCCGCGCUGCAUUAGCUAGUUGGUAAGGUAACGGCUUACCAAGGCAACGAUGCAUAGCCGACCUGAGAGGGUGAUCGGCCACACUGGAACUGAGACACGGUCCAGACUCCUACGAGAGGCAGCAGUAGGGAAUCUGCCGCAAUGGGCGAAAGCCUGACGGAGCAACGCCGCGUGAGUGAUGAAGGUCUUCGGAUCGUAAAACUCUGUUAUUAGGGAAGAACAUAUGUGUAAGUAACUGUGCACAUCUUGACGGUACAUAAUCAGAAAGCCACGGCUAACUACG
RNAcentral lists this ribosomal RNA (495 nucleotides) under uncultured bacterium. RNAcentral's name for it is "partial 16S ribosomal RNA". It matches the Rfam family "Bacterial small subunit ribosomal RNA", at positions 28 to 505 of the family's 1533-position model. The record is from RNAcentral.